This 2745-nucleotide unclassified non-coding RNA is filed under the name Nilaparvata lugens (brown planthopper). RNAcentral's name for it is "alanine--glyoxylate aminotransferase 2, mitochondrial, transcript variant X2". Lineage: Eukaryota; Metazoa; Arthropoda; Insecta; Hemiptera; Delphacidae. The record is from RNAcentral.
AACAUGGGUGCAAAGAACGCUUUAUUCUGAUAAGAUGUUUCUAUCUUAUGUUUAAUUCGUCUGUCAACAGCACUGUGUCUUCUGAUAAAAGGAAGACUUGUUGAAUAUUUUAUGGACUUAUUAACUUAUAACAGAGCAACAAUGAAAUGUUUACAGAGUAUAAAAGGUGUCAGGAUUGAAAAACGUUUAUAUGGGACGAAAGCGUUGAAACAUGAAAUUCCAGACACUAAAUUUAUACCGAGGAAAUAUGAUGGUCCAGAAUACAAUACUCUGAAAACCCUGAAGGAUAAGCAUGUAGUGCCUUGCAUACAACAGUAUUACAAGACUCCUCUCCUUAUCAAUGAGGGAAAAAUGCAAUGGCUGUUCGAUCAUGAUGGAAGACGAUACCUGGAUAUGUUUGGAGGAAUCGUGACAGUGAGUGUGGGACAUUGCCAUCCGAAAGUUUGUGAGGCCGCUAGAAAACAAAUGGAAAAGUUGUGGCACACUACCAACAUCUAUAUGCAUCCGAAUCUCUACACGUAUGCAGAAAAACUUACAUCCAAACUACCUGCUGAUCUCAAAGUGGUUUACUUUUUGAACAGUGGCUCAGAAGCAAACGAUUUAGCACUUCUAUUGGCUAGGACGUACACGCAGAACUAUGACAUCAUUUCAUUCAGGAACUGCUAUCACGGCAUGAGCCCCUAUGUGAUGGGUGUCACUGCCCUCUCAACAUGGCGAUUCAAUUUCCCUGUCAUGCACGGAUUUCAUCAUACGAUGAACCCAGACGUUUACAAGGGAUUAUGGGGCGGAAAGUUUUGUCGCGAUUCACCAAGUCAAACAACAAGGGACUGCAACUGCUCUGCAAGCAAAUGUCAGGCGGCAGAUAACUAUUACAAUCAACUUGAAGAGAUCUUCAAAUACUCCCUUCCCAGGGGGAAAGUGGCUGGAUUAAUAGCAGAAUCCAUACAGGGUGUAGGUGGAACAGUUCAAUUCCCAAAAGGAUUUUUGAAGAAAGCUUUCCACUUAGUGCGUACAAAUGGAGGAUUAUGCAUUAGUGAUGAGGUUCAAACAGGAUUUGGUAGAACUGGGGAGCACUUCUGGGGAUUUGAGAUGCAUGAUGUGGUUCCCGACAUUGUCACUCUAGCCAAAGGCAUUGGAAAUGGCUUUCCUUUAUCAGCUGUCAUAACUACGCCGAAAAUUGCCGAAACACUUGGACACGCAUUGCACUUUAAUACUUAUGGAGGAAAUCCUGUAGCGACUGCCGUUGGAAUGUCUGUUCUGGAGGUUAUAGAGGAGGAAAAUCUGCAAGAAAACUGCAGAAACGUCGGCACUUAUCUUAUCAAUGAGCUCGAAAAACUAAGGGAUGAGUUCGAAUGGAUUGGAGAUGUGAGAGGGAAAGGACUGAUGAUAGGCGUCGAGCUGGUUGCAGAUAAGGAAACAAAAGAACCCUUUCCCGCCAAAUAUUUCGUUGAUCUCAUGGAGGAUUGUAAAAAUAUGGGGCUCCUACUUGGAAGGGGCGGUCUAAAUGGCAAUAGAAGAGGAUUGAUGGGCAUCUCUCGUGACUUGGAAAGGAAUCACUUGUCUUCUAACUUCCAGUGAAUGAGCUUUGUCGAAAGUUGGUAUUCUCUUCUUACUUGUUCAUAUUUUAAUACUAGGUAAAUGAUAAUGUUCAGUCUGAUAAGUGAAUACUUAGCAAACCAAAUAUUAAGUAGAUUGAUUAUUAAGCUCUAAUCCAUCAAAAUAUUAUGCAGUCUACAGUAACUGUAUCAUACUUAGUAGGCCUACUGUACGAAGAAUUCGCAGGUACAGCUUUCAUAUGUUAUUUUUAAUGUUUUACUGAAACCUAGAGAGCCAUAAAGAUAUACGUUAUUAUCAAAUGUGUGCUGGGUUUAUGAUAUGUUGUGAUAUAUGAAGGUGAUUAGAAUACAAAGAGGUGGUAAUUACGAGCUUCCAAGUACAUUGAAAGAGCAGUGCCAGCAGAUCGUAUCACAUCAGUGGUGAUCAAUGUCACUAUUUUAUGUAGGUACCUAUCUUCCUAAUGUUAAAAUCCUUAUUUGACUAAAAUUCAAAUGCUUUGACGCUAUUAUAGCUAUUAUAAUUACCUCUUAACACUGUUGUCAAUAUUUGCAGUAGCAGAAGUCUCUGGGGUGAUUCACAGCAUUUAAUUUGGAUUUAUUCGUUUAAUAAAUUAAUAGUUAUUCAUUAAUUAGCAUUUGAAUGAAUGCAAUUUCUUAUUAAUUUAUUUCUGUAGAUAUAUUAUUGAGGCAAAUUAUAAACAUGUACUUACCUAAUUAACUUGAUCAAUAAUUUGAAUCUUUCUAUCUAUUUGCAGAGAAUAAUUAGAUCUGGUUGUAUUGGUCUUUGCAAUGAAGAAGACUCAUUUGGCCUGAUGGAUUGUGAUAGAGAAUAUAAAGGACAAUAUAUUUAAUAGCUUGAAUUAUACCUAUUCAAUAAGGAGAAUAAAUUCAGUUUUUUAGUUCACAAAUAACUAGUAGGAUGAUAAGUCUGAAGACUGCAGUUUUGAUGCGACAGUAUCUUCGAUAUUUUCGCAAUAGUCCACUAUUGUUCAUCUUGGUGAUACUUGUAGUAAUAUCAUCGCUAAUAAAUUUAUUGAUGAUAUUGUUCAAUGAGAGAGAUAACAUGGAAAAAUGUUUUUUGGCGUUUAAGGACAUGAUAACCGUAAGUGCCAUGUUCUCUUGUUUUCUAAAACGAUUUAGUAUAUUUGAAGAAAGCAUUGAAUUGACGCAUAUGAUUGAGGAGGAGCAU